CGGGAACUCAAAGGAGACUGCCAGUGAUAAACUGGAGGAAGGUGGGGAUGACGUCAAGUCAUCAUGGCCCUUACGACCAGGGCUACACACGUGCUACAAUGGCGCAUACAAAGAGAAGCGACCUCGCGAGAGCAAGCGGACCUCAUAAAGUGCGUCGUAGUCCGGAUUGGAGUCUGCAACUCGACUCCAUGAAGUCGGAAUCGCUAGUAAUCGUGGAUCAGAAUGCCACGGUGAAUACGUUCCCGGGCCUUGUACACACCGCCCGUCACACCAUGGG
RNAcentral lists this ribosomal RNA (277 nucleotides) under Salmonella enterica subsp. enterica serovar Montevideo. RNAcentral describes it as "partial 16S ribosomal RNA". It matches the Rfam family "Bacterial small subunit ribosomal RNA", at positions 1132 to 1408 of the family's 1533-position model. The record is from RNAcentral. Lineage: Bacteria; Pseudomonadati; Pseudomonadota; Gammaproteobacteria; Enterobacterales; Enterobacteriaceae.